GCCUCCUCCUCGCGCCGCUCUCCGGCUGCCCUCCCGCCGCUCCCACCUCCUCUCCUCCCUCCUCUCUCUCCGGCGGCCUCCCUCGAUUGCUGGAGAGAAAACCAGCCCCCCACUCCAGCCCCUAGCCAGCGCCUCGCCGCGGCCCAGCCCGGACGUAAAGGGCAGCGAUCCGGCCCCAAAUUACCCAGCGCGAACGGGCGCGCGCGGCGACUCCUGGCUCGGGGCUCGGCUGCGCCGCGGGGCAGAGGAUUAGAGUCGCAAUUAGCUCCGCGCGCCCGCGCCUGGCGACAAAAACGCGCCGUUUCCCCUCCUUUCGCCGGGCGAUCCCCACCCGCCUCUCCCGAAGCCCGCGCCUUCCCGCCGGGGCCGCGGCCAGGACCCUCCCGGGAGCGGUGCGCCCAGGCCCCAGCGCCCUCCGCGGCCCAGCCCCCCGCCCCCCGCCGGCCGGCCACGCGGCGCCCGGGCCUCCUCCGGGCUCGGGGAGGGGGCGGGGGAGAGGCUGAUUUUAAUCAUUGUCAUUUCAUCUGAUGUAAUAUUUCCCCGGGCGCUUUCAGCUGGGCAUAAAUUUUCGGCUCCCAAAUAAGUAACACAGGGCACGUUUCUCACAUUUCUUGACUCCUCGGUUACAAAGAGGAGAGCAGCCGCCGCCGCGGCGCCCGGGGCUGGGGGCGGGACUUGGGAAGAAACUGGGCUGCCAGUCGGUCGGGGCUGGAGCGGAGCCGGGGGCCAGGCCGCCCCUCCCCCGCUCCCUGGCCGCCCUCCCAGGGUCUCUGCCCCGCUGCCCCUCUCCCGUGACGUCUGCGGACACGCGGUCGGCCGCCGCGGGGGAGGGACGCGCUGGGGCACCGGGCCGACCGCUCGCGGCUAGACGCGCCAUUUCCUUUACGCGCGCGGCGCGAUGGAGACGGCGGCAGCCAAGACUCCCCGCGGCCGAGGUCCGCGCCCCGGACGCCCCUCCCCAGUCUCCGCUUCGGCCGCCCCUUCCUCCUUUUCUCCCACUCCCACUCCUCCUCCCCUUCCUCUUCCUCCUGUUUCCUUUGCGCCCCGCCCGUGCCUCCUCCUCCUCCUCGGCGACCAUUUCCCGGCUCCUAGGAAACGGAGCGCGCGACUGGCCGGCACUGCGCCCCCGCCUGGCUCCAGGGACGCCCGGGCCGGAGACCGGCUGGGACCGCGGGGCGGGUGCGCACGGGCCGGAACGGCGCCUGGGUCCCGACCGCCGGCUCCGGCCGGGCCUGGACGCCCCCUAGCGGCCGCACUCCCGGGGUGGGGGGCGCUCGGGGUCGGCCUGGAGCUGGGGUGAGGGGGACUCGGGGUGCCAGUGGGAGGAAGGUGAAGUGGGGGGGGCUUUCUCCCUCUACUAGAGGACCUCGCGCGCGUGGAGAGAGCGUCCAGACAGCGCUUCCGUAACUUCUUUACGCGGGAAUCAGCCGAAACUUUCCUCCUAAGGGAAGGUUUUAUUUAUUUAUUUAUUUUCGAGUUCGAACUACAGGAAAAAGGGGGAAAUUUUCUCAUUAAAGUUACAUCCCUGCAGUUAGUUCAAUUAUUUGAUAUAUGCAGAAGAUGUUGUAAAUUUAUAGAUUUAAAUAGCUUACAAAGAUGCCGCAGGCCCCAUCAGUUAAUUUCCUUAAUUUAUGGAUUUUGAGCUGCUCCUGGAACAGAAAGAAGCCCUGGAAGUAGGUCAGGGAUCUGUGCAGGGGUUGGGAGGGGCUCCCGCGAGGCCCAAGGGCUGCCCACUCUGCUCCCUACGCCCCGGUACCUCCGGGCUUCCAGCUCCCAGCUUCGGCUCAGCAGCGCGCUCUCUGCGCGUUCGGCACGCUGGCCAGGCCCGGCCCGGCCCGAGAGGUCAGCCCAGCUUUGUGGCCGACUGUCCCAAGCACGACAUAGGAACAGCAAAGCCCUCCAUCAAUGCACAUCCCACUCAGCAUUGAGGGACCAGACACAAAUAGAAAGUGAAGCAAGUAUUCAAAUACUUUGAUCUCCUGUAUCCACCCUUAAAUGCUGGCUAGAAUCACAAUCGGACGAGGUUGUGUGUGUGGGUGCCCCCAACUUCAUGGACAGAAACGUCCUCCCCCGCCCCAGGCCUUUGUGGAGGGUGGAAUGAGGGAAGGUGGAGCAGGCUUGUGUUGGAGGAUGAGGGACUCACUGAAAAUCCGCUUGUCAUGGCUCCUGUGGCCCCCAGCGCCCCUCACACCUCUUUUGUCCCUCAUCCUAGGUGGCUGCGGUAACGCCUUUGUUUCGUGUUCAAUCUGGGUGAAUAUAUACAUAUAAAUUAAUACUUGAAAGAUUGGUAUAAGCGAAACUGUUUUAGGAAGCCACAUGGCAAUGUGAUUAGUAUGGGUAUUCAUGAUUUAACAUUUAUUUUCCCACUAGAUGAAGUUUCUAAGAUUUGCAAGGUACAUGUCAAGGACGGGUGUAUAAAUGGAUUUUUAUUUAUUCACAACUCCAAGACUAAUUGCUUCUCUUUGCCUCAAGGCCAUGAGAUUGGUUUUAAUAUGACACUUCAAAAGUAUUCAUGGAACUACAGAGCUACUAAGUGUCAUUGUUUAAGAGACAAAUCUCACCAUGGUACUGGUGACCCUGAAAAUAGGAUAUUCUACUUUAUUUUAAAUUCCUACGUGUUUUUUUAAGAGUUUCACUUUAUACCAAUUAUAAUAAAAAUGUACAAUUUAGUGGAAACAAGAACUGGACGACUUUUAUUUCCUUAGUACGGCUGGGGACUUUGUUUCUGUAUUCCUGAAUCCUUUUAUUUAAGAGCUGAACUUUAUACGUGUCAUUAAGAACAGUAAGUUUGGGUCAUAAUUUAUUCUCAAGUGUUUUAAAAGUUCCUAGCUAAAUGUCAGCCAUCUCUUCCACUGGGAGACUUGGAUAUGGACAGUGAUAGGUAUUUAAUGAUCUGUGGUAUAUAAUGCAAUGGUGAUGCAUUUUUUAAUUGAAAGAUGUAGAAUUUGGACUGAGAACAUAUUGAAACAUCUCGUGGAGUACAUCCUGUUUCAUUACUGUGGUUCAAGAGAUGACAUCGGACGUGAGUCCAAUCAGAACUUGCUCUAUCAUUAAGAGUUGACUGGCACUUAAGUCAUUACAGUUCAUAGUUUAAAAAGCAGAUUCAAACCUGUGCUCUCACACAGCGGGGCAUUUGCAGGAUGUAAAACCCAUGGCAAGACCUCAGGUUUCCAGAUGUUUCAAGGUGGCUUCCAAUGUGAUGUUGUUCUUUGUUGCUAUUGCUGUUUGCAGGCUAUGUUUAAAAAUUAGGAUCUUAAUAAGGAAGGGAAAAUGAACCCAAAAUGAGAUCACAGACUCUGCUGAACCCAACCUUCUCAGCAAGGCUAUAAUCAGACAAGCAGAUGAACAGACUGAGAGACCUGCCUGCUGCUGUCUCCGGGAGGGAGGACUGGGGUUUUAGCACCGGGUUGUCUCUUCCCCCACCCCCAGGCUUCCUGGGGUGCUGGUCAGUCCUUCUUAGAUCUGUGCUCACCUCAGGCUCCAGAGAUGGCUCCUGUACAGGCUAGGAAUAAGCCAGCCUGGACCAGAGCUCACGGUCACACCCACCUGGCCUCCGCCUCUACCCUGGGAAUCCCCCCAAUCUUCCCUCCUAGUUAGGACCCCAGAGAAUCUGGAGACUAAAGGGAGUGACGAAACAUGGGACUGUUAGUCCCCUCACCUGUCCCCUCACCCAAAUUGCCCUUGCCCAGUCCCUGGCACCACGCUCAGUGGGCACUCAGGACUCCUAGUGGGCAGGAAGGCAGGGGUUGCCUUUCUACCUUCUGCCAACAGCCUGGGUGUGCCAUUCUGAACCAAACCAACCCUGCCGGCCCUGGGAGCCAGCACUGGGGUGAGAACGAGACAAGACUAAGACCUCCUGACCAGGAAUUUUAACAUUUUUGCAGCCUGUGGGGGAGCCAGCAGCCCCCUAAAUUGCUCAAAACUGCAUUUGAGCCUUUUCCAUCAAAUUCUCAAAUGCUAUAUGGAUUUGGGUGCAAGUAGCAAAGGCUGCAACAGAAUAGCUUCAUGAUAGAACACCUGAUUCACAGAAUGCGCCUGGAGGUGAAUCAGUGGAUUGGAAUACUAUUCAAGGACCAGCUCUCCCCAGCUUUCCUCUACCAUCCUCAGCACGUUGGCCUGUUCUCAUGCCAGCACUUCUCUGGUCUCAAAAUGAACAGAGCUCAAAGCUUCACACCUGCCUGGACACCUAUAGAAAACAAUGGAAUUAUCCUAGUGGCUCCCACAGCCCUCCUUGUCACGUCCUAUUGGCAAAAACUGGGUCACAUGCCAAGUUACAAGCCAAUGGGACUGCUGCCCUGAACCCCUGGGAGGGAAGUGGGUACUGGGCAAAGUCAGACUUUCCCUGG
This 4346-nucleotide long non-coding RNA is filed under the name Homo sapiens (human). RNAcentral describes it as "non-protein coding lnc-PEPD-4:1". The record is from RNAcentral. Lineage: Eukaryota; Metazoa; Chordata; Mammalia; Primates; Hominidae.